UCCUGUGUGGCUCAGUUGGUAGAGCAUAGCACGUGCAAUGCAAGGGUAGUGGGUUAGAUUCCCACUGCAGGGC
Molecule: transfer RNA, 73 nt
Filed under: Salmo salar (Atlantic salmon)
Lineage: Eukaryota; Metazoa; Chordata; Actinopteri; Salmoniformes; Salmonidae
Rfam family: tRNA
About the family: Transfer RNA (tRNA) molecules are approximately 80 nucleotides in length.
Source: Rfam by way of RNAcentral